GUAGGUGGCAAGCGUUGUCCGGAAUUAUUGGGCGUAAAGCGCGCGCAGGCGGUUCUUUAAGUCUGAUGUGAAAGCCCACGGCUCAACCGUGGAGGGUCAUUGGAAACUGGAGAACUUGAGUACAGAAGAGGAAAGCGGAAUUCCACGUGUAGCGGUGAAAUGCGUAGAGAUGUGGAGGAACACCAGUGGCGAAGGCGGCUUUCUGGUCUGUAACUGACGCUGAGGCGCGAAAGCGUGGGGAGCAAACAGGAUUAGAUACCCUGGUAGUCCACGCCGUAAACGAUGAGUGCUAAGUGUUAGGGGGGUUUUCCGCCCCCCUUAGUGCUGCAGCUAACGCAUUAAGCACCCCCGCCUGGGGAGUACGGCCGCAAGGCUG
This 376-nucleotide ribosomal RNA is filed under the name uncultured organism. Its description in RNAcentral is "partial 16S ribosomal RNA". It matches the Rfam family "Bacterial small subunit ribosomal RNA", at positions 527 to 896 of the family's 1533-position model. The record is from RNAcentral.